AGGGUUUGAUCCUGGCUCAGGACAAACGCUGGCGGCGUGCUUCAUACAUGCAAGUCGAACGUGAACUCGGGAGCUUGCUCCCGGGAGAAAGUGGCGAACGGGUGAGUAACGCGUGGAUAACCUGCCCUUCAGCGGGGGAUAACCAUCCUAACGGGUGGCUAAUACCGCAUAAAGCCUUUUAAUCUCAUGAUUUGAAGGUGAAAGAUGACUUCGGUUGUCACUGGGGGAUGGAUCCGCGUCCCAUCAGGUAGUCGGUGAGGUAAAAGCUCACCAAGCCAACGACGGGUAGCCGGCCUGAGAGGGUGAUCGGCCACAUCGGGACUGAGAUACGGCCCGGACUCCUACGGGAGGCAGCAGUAGGGAAUAUUGCCCAAUGGACGAAAGUCUGAGGCAGCAACGCCGCGUGAGGGAUGAAGGUGUUUUUCAUCGUAAACCUCUUUCAGUAGGGACGAAAUCCGUCGAGUUACUACCUCUGCGGUCUGACGGUACCUACAGAAGAAGCACCGGCUAACUACGUGCCAGCAGCCGCGGUAAAACGUAGGGUGCAAGUGUUGUCCGGAUUCAUUGGGUGUAAAGGGUCCGCAGGCGGACUAUCAAGUCAGAAGUGAAAUCUCCAGGGCUUAACCCGGAGCGUGCUUUUGAUACUGGUAGCCUUGAGAACAGGAGAGGAUGGAGGAAUUCCUGGUGUAGCGGUGGAAUGCGUAGAUAUCAGGAAGAACGCCGACGGUGAAGACAUCCAUCUGGCCCUGUUACUGACGCUCAUGGACGAAAGCGUGGGGAGCGAACAGGAUUAGAUACCCUGGUAGUCCACGCCCUAAACGAUGGGUACUAGGUGUCGGGGGUAUCGACCCCCUCGGUGCCGAAGCUAACGCAUUAAGUACCCCACCUGGGGAGUACGAUCGCAAGGUUGAAACUCAAAGGAAUUGACGGGGGCCCGCACAAGCGGUGGAGCAUGUGGUUUAAUUCGACGCAACGCGAAGAACCUUACCCAGGCUUGACAUGUUAGAGAAAACCAGCGAAAUCUGGUCCUCUCCUUCGGGAGACUCUAUCACAGGUGCUGCAUGGCUGUCGUCAGCUCGUGUCGUGAGAUGUUGGGUUAAGUCCCGCAACGAGCGCAUCCCUCGUUUCUAGUUGCCAGCGAGUAAUGUCGGGGACUCUAGAGAGACUGCCGGUGAUAAGCCGGAGGAAGGUGGGGAUGACGUCAAGUCCUCAUGGCCCUUACGCCUGGGGCUACACACGUGCUACAAUGGUCGGUACAGAGGGUCGCAAUACCGCGAGGUGGAGCUAAUCCCUAAAGCCGGCCUCAGUUCGAAUUGCAGUCUGCAACUCGACUGCAUGAAGUCGGAAUCGCUAGUAAUCGCGUAUCAGCAAGACGCGGUGAAUACGUUCCCGGGCCUUGUACACACCGCCCGUCAAGCGAUGGGAGCCGGGGGUACCCGAAGUCGAUUAUCUAACCCGCAAGGGAAGAAAUCGACGAAGGUAAAAUCGGUGACUGGCGCUAAGUCGUAACAAGGUA
Molecule: ribosomal RNA, 1516 nt
Filed under: metagenome
Description: bacterial SSU rRNA
Rfam family: Bacterial small subunit ribosomal RNA
Source: RNAcentral